RNAcentral lists this ribosomal RNA (257 nucleotides) under uncultured prokaryote. RNAcentral's name for it is "partial 16S ribosomal RNA". It matches the Rfam family "Bacterial small subunit ribosomal RNA", at positions 524 to 780 of the family's 1533-position model. The record is from RNAcentral.
CACGUAGGGGGCGAGCGUUGUCCGGAAUUACUGGGCGUAAAGGGCGCGCAGGCUGUUAUGCGAGUCUGCUGUGAAAUGUACCGGCUCAACCGGUGCCUUGCGGCGGAUACUGCAUAGCUGGAGUACUGGAGAGGGAAGUGGAAUUCCCGGUGUAGCGGUGAAAUGCGUAGAUAUCAGGAGGAACACCAAUGGCGAAGGCAGGUCUCUGGGCAGUUACUGACGCUGAGGAGCGAAAGCAUGGGUAGCGAACAGGAUUA